CCGAACACAAAUCUUAUGAUGCCCGCAAGCGCGUCUCGUAACCUCCCUCCCUCCACAGUUCGUCGAUCGCGUGUUUCGUCUCCCGGAGAUUGCGAUCCUCUUCGCGAGCCUGCGGUCGGGCUCUCAGAAGAAGCAUCACCGUCGAGCUCGCGAGAAGGCGGUGGCUGUCCCCUCUCUCUCUGACUGCUCUCAUCACGAUUUUUUUAAUUAUGAAUAAAUGAGAGAUGAAUUAAGGUUUGCUUGUUGAUUUUAGGGAAAAGGAACCGUUUUUGCGGCUAAUGGUAUGAUUUUUUAGCUCUGCAACUAAUUUUGUCGUCGGCCAAUUGAUGUUGCUGUUCUGAUCGUUCUUCGGUUCUUGUAUCCUCCUUCGGCUAUUAGUUUUUAGCGCCUCUUUAAUUCAUGAUUACCCUGGAUCCAGAAUCUUCGCAAUUCCUUCAUUCAUUCACCGUAGAAAAUUAGUCCUGUUCCUGGGUAACUGAAAACGUUGAGGGCAGGUGUUUUGAGUAACGGGUAGAUGGGAUUUGCUCAUUUUCUCUUCACUACAAGAAUUUGAUGUGGUGAUUGUUCAUGUUGGCAUCAAAAGUGGUAAUAUCCAAGAUUGUUGUGCUCAUAUCAACCAGUUAUGAUCUAUGAAUGAAUGCUACGAAUUCGUUUCCUUUUUUCUUCUAUGAUAUAUUGAUAUGCUGCAGUGCAGAUGGAAGAUAUGGAUUGGUGGUUGUGCUCCUUUUGAGUUUGGAAAUGCUCAUCCUUUCGUUGAAAUCAUUCUCUUGUUUUGGAGACAACUAGGACCAUCUUACUUUGUGCUAAAUUGGCUGUCCUGACAUGCUUUUAAACAAAGAGAUUAACAAAAAACUUUCUUUAAAUAGCUUAUGAGACACACAAAUAUGGACUAAUGAGUAAGAUGUUUCUACUAAUAUGCUCACAUGAAGCUUGCUAAAGGCAUAUUGCUUGAUUUUUUGAAUGAGGUUUUUUACUGCUUCCACAAGGACUUAAAGUUUCAUUUACCCAAAGGUGAUGAGCUUCCAUCAGGGGUACUAUCUUAUGAGAGUAAGGUUCGCUGUACCGUACCGUACCGACGUUUCGACCCGGGCUCGAUACGGUACGGUACCAGUGUACCGGGCGGUACAUCAGGGCAUACCGAGCGCACACCCUGGUGUACCGAAUAAUUUUUUAUUUUUUUUUCAUACUGUAGCAGUGCUAUAGUAUAGUACUGUAGCAUUGUAGCGGUACCGGGCGGUUCGCGUAUCGGUAACCUGUAGGACCGGUACGUACCGCUCGGUACGGGCGGUAUGCUUCAGUACGACAGACCUUAUAUGAGAGUAUAUGUCAUUGGUAACAAGCAUUUCUGGUUGUUGACUGAUCAAGAUGAUGUCAACAUUAGUUUUUAUCCAUUUAUUUGCAUCUCUGCUUGAUGGUAAUGGCAGGGCACAUCAUUUUUACUUAGUCAUUUGUGUCAGCACACUGGUCAGCCUUACACCACAAUGGUAAUAGAGUAUAUGAUAUAGCUAAUAAGAAUGUGGUUGACCGAUCAGGAUUAUGCCAACAUGAUAUUUUCACCCAUUUUUAAUAUUUAUGGUAGUAUCUGGGCAUAUCAUUUUUAUUUAGUCAUGAGUUUUGGUAUAGUGAUUAGCCUUUCACCUUUUUCUUCCUCAGGAAAAUCCAGAAGAAGUAGAUCAGCUUUUGCACAACACUUGGUUCGAAAUGCAUGCAGCAGUGUGGUCAGGUUGGCAUUCACCAAAAUCUCAGAAACACUUCUGCAAGCACACAACAGUUAGGAUUUGGUUCAGACAGUGCGCAAAAUAGUGGCACCUCAUUCCUUUCUCUGGCUAAGGGAAGUAAGAGACUGAGAAGUUAUUACCAUUUGGAGCCUAUCAAGCAAGAUCAAGGCACAGAGCAAGUCAAGCAAGAUCGGGGAACAGAAACCAUCAAAGAAGAGCAUUCUGAUAGACCUGAUGAUGAUGAUUCCGUUACCUUUAUGUUUGACAACAUAAAAACAGAGAUUGUUUAAAUAACAGAAAUAGAUGGUUCAGAUAGUGUGCAAAAUAGUGGCACCUCAUUCCUUUCUCAUGCCAAGGAAAGUAAGAGGCUGAGAAGUGAUUACCAUUUGGAGCUUAUCAAGUGAGAUCAAGGCACAGAGCCUGUAAAGCAAGAUCAGGGAGCAGAAACCAUCAAGUAAGAGUAUUCUGGUAAACCUGAUGAUGGUUGAUUCCAUUACCUUUAUGUUUGACAACAGACAGGCAGAGAGUGGCAAAAUGCAGAAAGAGGUGGGGUUGUCAGCGAUGAAGGGGUUGAGAAGUUGGUGAAUCUAAUGCAACUUGGUAAAACUGAAAAAAUAGAUUUGUUUGGUCAGAUAAUGCUUUGUGCAGUUGGAAGUUGCCUGUAAACCUAAAUGCUCUGCAGAUUUGUAACAUUGUUAAGUCGGUGAAUAAUUUGUGCAGUCACAAUAAUAUGUAGAUCCAGAGGAAAGCUAGGAGUCUUGUUUGGCACUUGGAAGAAACAGGUUGAAGCUGAAAUGUCAAAAAUUGAUGCGAAUUCUGUCAGGCAGCCUGUUUCAGGGCCAGUCAAACCAGGUUAUUCUUAUGUUACUGAAGGAAUUAAGAAAUAAACGCACUGGAUCAACUAGAACAUCAGCAUGCAAACCUCUGCCUGGUAAACCUGCAACAUGAGAUUUUACUAUGAAGUCAAAUUUACCUGCAAAGUUGCUGCUGCUAGUGUGUGUUCAGAGUUGCCUACCAUAACAGUUUAGGAUGAGAAGAGCAGUGUUCCAAAUCAGUCUAAAAAACAAAAGCCAAUUUUGUUCUACUGAUCAAGGUUAUCACAGGUGGAAAAAGCAUCACAAUUUGCACAAACAUGUGAAAAACCAUUUGAUAUGCAUGUUGGUGAUCAUGGAAUGUUGCCGCAAACUGAUUGUUAGGAUUCAUAACCCUGGGCUUUGCCAAAGCCCUGUACAUAGUGCCAGUGGCUGCUCUUUUGAGGACCCAGUGGUUACGGGCAAUAAGUAGAUCAUAAUGAUUAUAAAUUGAAGGAACAAGUAGCCAUUCUUGAUGAAGAAACAGCAGAAAUGUUGAGGAAACUGGUAAGGUUGCAGACCCUACUAAAACUGCCUGUUCAUCUUCUCCAAAUGAAAAUGGAGUUCCCUUGACUGAAUUGAGUACAAGAAUUGCUUUUAGUUCUAUGCAUGUCUUGAACCUUCAGCUGUUGAAGAUAAUAUGGGGUUGAAUCUACUUGCUGCGAGAUGACUGACUCAAGAUCUGGGCCGUAAGUUUACACGAUCCGAAGGCCUACUUCAAGUCUGACCGAUCUGGGUCAAUCCCACAAAUGGGCUCUAAUAGUGGAAUUAUAAAGUGAAAGUAUUAAUAAAUCUCUGAAUAUUAUUAGGAUUCAA
Musa acuminata AAA Group (dessert banana) is the source of this 3385-nucleotide long non-coding RNA. RefSeq lists it as uncharacterized. NCBI's taxonomy places the organism in Eukaryota, Viridiplantae, Streptophyta, Magnoliopsida, Zingiberales, Musaceae. The transcript has 2 exons. The record is from RefSeq and is a predicted model, not a curated record.